This 248-nucleotide ribosomal RNA is filed under the name uncultured bacterium. Its description in RNAcentral is "partial 16S ribosomal RNA". It matches the Rfam family "Bacterial small subunit ribosomal RNA", at positions 333 to 578 of the family's 1533-position model. The record is from RNAcentral.
GUUUUCCUACGGGGGGCAGCAGUGAGGAAUAUUGGUCAAUGGGCGAGAGCCUGAACCAGCCAAGUCGCGUGAGGGAAGACGGCCCUACGGGUUGUAAACCUCUUUUGUCAGGGAGCAAGAACGGAUACGUGUAUCCGAGCGGGAGUACCUGAAGAAGAAGCAUCGGCUAACCCCGUGCCAGCAGCCGCGGUAAUACGGAGGAUGCGAGCGUUAUCCGGAUUUAUUGGGUUUAAAGGGUGCGUAGGCGG